Molecule: ribosomal RNA, 534 nt
Filed under: uncultured bacterium
Lineage: Bacteria
Description: bacterial SSU rRNA
Rfam family: Bacterial small subunit ribosomal RNA
Source: RNAcentral
GAGUUUGAUCUUGGCUCAGAAUCAACGCUGGCGGCGUGCCCCAGACAUGCAAGUCGAACGCGAAAGGUUCCUUCGGGAACCGAGUAGAGUGGCGCACGGGUGAGUAACACGUAGGUAAUUUGCCUUUGGGUGGGGAAUAACUCAGGGAAACUUGAGCUAAUACCGCAUAAUGCAGCGGCUCGACAUCGAGACAGUUGUUAAAGCGGGGGAUCGCAAGACCUCGCGCCUAAAGAGAAGCCUGCGGCAGAUUAGCUAGUUGGUAGGGUAAUGGCCUACCAAGGCAACGAUCUGUAACCGGCCUGAGAGGGCGGUCGGUCACACUGACACUGACAUACGGGUCAGACUCCUACGGGAGGCAGCAGUCGGGAAUUUUGGGCAAUGGGCGAAAGCCUGACCCAGCAACGCCGCGUGAAGGAUGAAAUCCCUCGGGAUGUAAACUUCGCAAGAACAGGAAGAAUAAGUAGAAGCUAAAUGCCUUCUAUGAUGACGGUACUGUUUGUAAGCUCCGGCUAACUCCGUGCCAGCCGCCGACGG